Molecule: ribosomal RNA, 164 nt
Filed under: Murraya alata
Lineage: Eukaryota; Viridiplantae; Streptophyta; Magnoliopsida; Sapindales; Rutaceae
Description: 5.8S ribosomal RNA
Rfam family: 5.8S ribosomal RNA
About the family: 5.8S ribosomal RNA (5.8S rRNA) is a component of the large subunit of the eukaryotic ribosome. It is transcribed by RNA polymerase I as part of the 45S precursor that also contains 18S and 28S rRNA.
Source: RNAcentral
AAAACGACUCUYGGCAACGGAUAUCUCGGCUCUCGCAUCGAUGAAGAACGUAGCGAAAUGCGAUACUUGGUGUGAAUUGCAGAAUCCCGUGAACCAUCGAGUCUUUGAACGCAAGUUGCGCCCCAAGCCGUUAGGCCGAGGGCACGUCUGCCUGGGUGUCACGC